Limulus polyphemus (Atlantic horseshoe crab) is the source of this 825-nucleotide long non-coding RNA. RefSeq lists it as uncharacterized. The record is from RefSeq and is a predicted model, not a curated record. The transcript is spliced from 4 exons. Lineage: Eukaryota; Metazoa; Arthropoda; Merostomata; Xiphosura; Limulidae.
GUCUGAGUACGAGGUAAGACUGUUAAACCAGAACAGGUCUGUGUCCUGUCACUAGUAAGUGCCAAAGCCAAAGUCUCCUUGCUGGAAAUUUGUUCCUUGAUUGUGUUGUCAUGACAUCUCUUCCGCUAUAGGAUGGCCUUCCAUGCCAUUGACUCACAAACUCUUGCACAUCAUCCAAUGCAGACCUAAGCCACUACCUGCAUUCUUGUGGAUACUGUGACAAAUCUGUUCUAGAGGAGGGCCAUUCAUCACAGGGAACAAUAACUUUGAACCAAACAUGAGUAUGUUUGCCAAACAACCAGUCAAUAUAUAUUCUGUUGCAUAGUAAACCAUCAUGACAUACAGAAAGUGUUCAUCCCAAGCAGUUCAGUUGAGAUUAACAAACUUCACAACCAUCCACUUGAUAGUUUGCAUUACUUGCUCUGCCAAACCGUCAGACUGGGGUGAUAAGGUCCCAUUUACAAGACCUAUACCACUCAGUAUGGAAAUUGCUUUACCAUUAAUAGUGACUGGAUACCAAAAGCUGUUGUCAGAAACUUAUCUAACAUACAAAGAGUGAUUGGAGAGGAAAAGAUUCAUAUGUAUUUCAACUUAUACCUGGACGCAUAUGUUAGUUAUCCUUUAAAUAAUGAGGCACUUGUUGUGCUUAGUUCACCAGAUUCAGUUCCUGAUAUUGUCAAUGACGUAUAUCCUGUGGAGUGUGGAAAACUACAUACGUUUUCUGUAUCUAAAACUAUUUCACACCUGUUACCACCCCCUUAUGUCACUAACUGUACUGACUAUGAUAAGAUGGGAAGGGCAUCUUUUCGGGGUGGCUUACUAACA